AAGUCGUCUAUGGCCACUGGCAGCGUGAAGAAGCCCCAAAGGUUCAGGCCGGGAACUGUGGCGCUGAGGACUAGACCGAGAUGGAGGCGAUGCCGGAAAAGAUGAGAGAUGGCUGGAAAAGAGACUGUUGCGUGCAUUUGGUGAGACGAGGACGAAGACGACGCUGAGGGAUGAAGGUGACGCAGAGUGACAACGCUAAUAGACGUCACCGAAAAAUCAAGAAGGCCACCGAGAGUUGCAGCAACAAGGUCCACGAGACGGCUGAGAACAAAACGAAAGUAAGCCGUGAUCAGGUUCAGAUGAGCCAAGCGGAAACUGGAGAUGAGCCGAGCGGAAAUUGGAGACAAGCUGAGCAGAAACUGGAGCAGAGCAUACGCCGGAGCUACAACUGAUACUAGCUGAGCGGAAGAAGGCCAACUGCAGCGGCAAAGAAGGAGAAAAGAAAAGAAAAAAAUAAGUUCAAAUUGGAAGCUUGAAGAUUGCUGACCCACUUCUUUAUUUUUCCUUUUUCUUCUUUUUUAUUUUCAUUUUCAUUUCCCAUGUAAAAUUCAUUUCUCUGUAUCUUUUUCAUUUUAUGAAAUAAAAUUUUUACUAAA
Long non-coding RNA from Malania oleifera, 596 nucleotides. RefSeq lists it as uncharacterized. Lineage: Eukaryota; Viridiplantae; Streptophyta; Magnoliopsida; Santalales; Ximeniaceae. The record is from RefSeq and is a predicted model, not a curated record. The transcript has 2 exons.